UUAGUCUCAAGGCUUUGGGCCUUUAUGUCCACAUGAUUGUGUGCAUCUUCAUAUUAUUUGGUUUCAGACAUCUUCCAUUAUCAUAUAGAUAACUGAACAUUUUUACUUGGAUGUGAGAAGCUGCAGCUAAUGUAAUGUCAUCUCUUUGCGUGCAAGUCACUUUUUCCUUGCUUUUAUGAUCCUGUCUUUCUACUUUAUGGGAAGAUUGGAGACCAGAGAGGGGGGGGGGGCAUACUAUGGAUUUUUGCACUCAAUACAUCAAUGACCCACUUUGGUGUUUUGUGUAACCUUGCUUAUUUUUCACAUGCCCAUGAGGGUCAUUCUGUUUGUUUUGCUCUGUGUGUGUUUCUGUGAGUGUGAAUGCCGUUCAGGUCUCAAGAGAGCGUUUCGGAUCUAUACUCAUUGGCCUGUUGCUGUGGUCGAGCUGGAGUUCAGAUCUGAUAGCGAGUGUCUCCUGACCACUGAUCUGAGACCAUCGCUGCUGUUGAUGUUAAAUCAUUUCCUUCAGGAUUUAGAUUUUGCACUGGUCUUAGAAAGGCCCAUUGCUCAUCGCUCUCCCACUCGGUGUCCUGCAGCUGGGGAUUAUGGGUAAAUGUGGAUGUGACCUCAUCCUCAGGUGAUGCCUUUGGAGCCUGCUGCUCCUUACAGUCCUGCUCUUCUGUCCUCAAGAGACUUCAUGCAGACAUAAUACAGGCUUUCAUUUAAGGGCGGUGGGGCCAAGGGCGAAUCUGCUUCUCUGAGGCUUCUGUCAAAGGAACCUUAUCUAUUAUGAGUGAGUCUUUAUCUUACGUAUUUCUCUGGUGCCCUCUGUACUGUUUGAGUGGAACAAAAGAGCUCUUUGCCUAAGAAAGUGAAUUUAUUUCUGACAUUGUGGUCACUGAACUCAGCCCUCUGUGAAUUAAAUUGCCCUGGUUGUGCUCGAGGGAUCUUCUGAGUGUUAAAUGUUGUCUCGUCACCAACUGGGAUGUUUAUUGUAUUGAAUUGUGUCUAGUGUA
This 995-nucleotide long non-coding RNA is filed under the name Carassius auratus (goldfish). RNAcentral describes it as "lncRNA (ENSCARG00000014487.1)". The record is from RNAcentral. Lineage: Eukaryota; Metazoa; Chordata; Actinopteri; Cypriniformes; Cyprinidae.